AAAACUGAAAAAACAAAAACCAGCCCUGUAUAAAAUGCUAUCUAAGUACCAUGCUUUAUAGUGUCACUGUCAAAACCAAUGAAUUACGUCAGUGCUUGAACAUGUAUCAGUUCCACCCUAGCAGGCUACAAGAUGAAUUGCCAUUCAAUGAGGCAAAUUCCAUGUCCAGAACACAGCCUGUGAUUUAAUAGCUAAUCUCAAUCAAGGGUCAUGAAAUGAAGAAGAGAAUUUUGAUUGAAAAUAAGGCAAAGAGUCAUUUUCUUAGGCAUUGUUUGCAAAGCCUAGUCCUUCUGUCUUGAUCAGCUGAAAAGUCUUGAGACUAUCUUUUGGGAAUGCUCCUCAUCAGAUUGUUGCUUUGACUGACCUUCCAGAGGAAAGUAGGAGAGUUUGUAUUUUCCUGCUCAUCUUGUUUUGUAGCAAUUGUCCCUGUUUUCCUUGAUGCUUUCUGAGCUUAUACCCAUGAGUCUUGUUACGGGAGAUGCUAUAAAGGCUGAGCUUCCUCUGGCUGCAAAAGGAACUCUGCUGCUGCUCAAUACUUUACUGAUUUCAGCCUUAUGCUUUACUGCCCUCUGAUAUGUCUAGCUAGUGUCUCGACUUUAAUUUUUGCUUUUUCUUGCUGAUAGCUCUGCUGAUCAGCUCCAUUAGAUAUGAUGGAAUUUGGUUCUGUGGAAAAUAAUGUUUGUUGAAAGGGAAAAACUGUCCUGAAGAUUUCUUCUGGAAUGUUGAAUGGAAUUUCGCUUGCAUGUAUUCGGAAGGAGUGGAGUCCCUGACACUGCUGAAGGUUUUCACUAAUUACUUUGUGAAGCAAGUUUUCAAGAAGUUCUUCAGGAAAGCAUCCAGAACGUCAAAGCACACGAAUGGAUUCCUUUAUGGAUUCUGCGGUAUUCGGUCAUUGUUAAAAGCAGAGGAAUUAUCAAGUCCAAAGGCUAUAUCAUGCAAGCUAAAAGAAACGCCUCUUAAAACGCUUCGUCUUUUUUUAUUCUUUGAAAUGGCCUACUGUUUUAAUUGCUGGGGGAUGGGAGGAACAUGCCUUUUUCAUAGAGAGACUUUUACAUCAUUUAUAACAAAGACCAAAAGUUGUAAUUAUUGAGUAUGAUGUCAGAAGGAGCAUCUGCAAUGUUCUAAUGAUUUAUUUUUUUAAUGUACUGACCAGUUCAUUAAAAAUGUUUUGGUUUUACUGGUGAAAUGAUCUAUAAAGAAACAGCUUAAAAUAUUUCUUUUUAUGACCAGUUCACUGUAGGAGUUCUGAUUAUAUUUUAGCUACCACUAGGCAGUAUAGAGAAACAUAUAUUUUUAAAUUUAAUUUCUCUUUAAUAUUUACUAAUCUGGUAGGUACACAGAUUUCAAACAUUCAAUGACUGAUUUUUAUAGAAAAUUGCCAUCUUUCAUGGAAAAAUUAUUCUAAAUAAACUAUCUUUACUUCAUAUGUAUAUAGGCAGAUUAGUUGUUUAAUUUGUGUGGAUGGGAAAAAUUGGUUUAUUUUUAAUAUCAUGUUUAAAAAAAAAAAGCAAUCCUCUGAUUUAGAAAAGAAGCAUCUUCCAAAUUGCUUUACUUUUUAUUACUUGAAUUCCUUCUGUCUUUUGUGCCUCUGUGCUUUUAGUACUUCACAAGUGAUGGCAUCUUCACCAUUUCAAGUAGAAAAUGUUUCAUUGUAGUCUUUUAAAAUAAGAACUGGAAACAAAUGAUGAGAAAUGUGUUAAUCAGAAAUCAAAUAGUACUUGCUUUGUCCUCAGCUGUGUGUUUGUUCUUCUAAUGUUAAGGAGCUAUGCAAUCCGAAUCAGCCAUGGCAGAAACAGUGGGAAAUGUUAAGGCUGCUGACUGUGUGAUCAUGUAAAAGGGAUGAUAAUUCUGGGGAUUGCCUUGGAAAUGGCCUUGUUUGGGUGCCAUUCAGAAAUGAAGCAGACAAAGAUUGUCUUAGACUUAGAUAUCUUUCUGUUUGGCAGUAACUUAAUGGUCUGCUUUUAGAGUCUUAGGGAGAAAUAGCUGCAGCUCAGGCCGGUUUAAUGUGCUCUGUUGGAAAGACCUUUAAAUUUCCUUGGCAUUUAAAUCAGAAUAGAUGGCAAAAAAAAAAAAAGCUGUCUGUUCAGCAGGGGCUCUAAGUGUCUAAAAUCCAAUGCUCAUUUUCCUCUGGAUUUCAGGUGGGAGUUGCUGCUAGUACUUCUUACUAGUACUAGUUAAAUUAUUUGUACAUAUUUAUUUUGAGCUUUGGGCUGUGAGGAAACUAAUUUCCACCAUUUUUUAAAUUCUGUUGUGCAGGCAGCGGGUGGAAUCUGAGUGCUUGUAGGCACUGUGUGGAAAUACCAGCUCGCUAUGAACUGUUCCACUAAGUUACAGAAUGAUUCUUUGAGGUACCUUUAAGUUCUUCACUAUCUUAUGUGUAUAUGGCAAACCCUAGAAACGUGGAUUUCUAUUACUGCUUCAGUUGUUUUGAUAAACGAGAGGCAGAGAAUUUGAACCAGUAAUGCAUCAAUAAAAUGUUCUGGGUUUUUUUUUCCUCCUAAACAAAAUGUAGGGUUUUUUUUUUUGUUGGGUCAGUGUGCAUCAGAUCUGGAAAAGGAGGUGUUUCCUUUGUACUUUGUGUAUGGUCUGAGUUGUGUGCUGCUGCUGAUUAACCACUCCGAAUUGUUUGCUGCAUUUAAUUGAUUGCAUGUGUGUUCUGUUCUGUAAAUGGGAAUUCCCUAAAAUAAGAGCUGUGCUAAAACAAUGUGCACGUUGCCCUUAUGGUGUCAUUAUUUACUUUCCGGCUAUCAACUGCUACAAGUUCUCUUGCUUUAGGAAAACGCCCUUUAAGACAGUCUUGUUUUUGUGAUGCCACUGAUAACAUAACGAUUUAUCAGCUUUUCAAUAUUACUUUUGUGCAGAAGUCUGAGAGGUGGCUUUUCUUUCAGAGACGAAUUAAAAACUUAAAAGCUCUUGUA
Non-coding RNA from Meleagris gallopavo (turkey), 2918 nucleotides. NCBI's taxonomy places the organism in Eukaryota, Metazoa, Chordata, Aves, Galliformes, Phasianidae. The record is from RefSeq and is a predicted model, not a curated record.